Molecule: ribosomal RNA, 590 nt
Filed under: Morchella sp.
Lineage: Eukaryota; Fungi; Ascomycota; Pezizomycetes; Pezizales; Morchellaceae
Description: partial large subunit ribosomal RNA
Rfam family: Eukaryotic large subunit ribosomal RNA
Source: RNAcentral
ACCAACGGCCAUGCCUCAGUACGGCGAGUGAGCGGCAAAAGCUCAAAUUUUAAAGCUGGCACCUUCGGUGUCCGCGUUGUAAUUUUGUGAGGCAUCUCCGGGUAGGGCGCCGGCCUAAGUUCCUUGGAACAGGACGUCAUAGAGGGUGAGAAUCCCGUGCUUGGCUGGCUGUCCCCGUCCAUGUGAGGUGUCUUCGACGAGUCGAGUUGUUUGGGAAUGCAGCUCAAAAUGGGUGGUAAAUUUCAUCUAAAGCUAAAUAUUGGUGGGAGACCGAUAGCGCACAAGUAGAGUGAUCGAAAGAUGAAAAGCACUUUGAAAAUAGAGUUAAAAAGUACGUGAAAUUGUUGAAAGGGAAGCGCUUGAGACCAGACUUCGGUGGGGGGUGAUCAGCUGUCCUUCUGGGCGGUGCACUUGCUCCCCUCCGGGCCAGCAUCGGUUGGGGCGGCGGGAUAAAGAUCCCGGGAAUGUGGCUCCUUUCGGGGAGUGUUAUAGCCCGGGUGAAUGCCGCCAGUUCCGACCGAGGACCGCGCCUUCGGGCUAGGAUGCUUGGCAUAAUGGUCUUCAGCGACCCGUCUUGAAACCACGGGACC